CAGUAGCCACGGUAAUACGGAGGAUCCGAGCGUUAUCCGGAAUUAUUGGGUUUAAAGGGUGCGUAGGCGGAUAGAUAAGUCAGUGGUGAAAGACGGUGGCUCAACCAUCGCAGUGCCGUUGAUACUGUUUAUCUUGAAUAUGGAUGAGGUAGGCGGAAUGUGGCAAGUAGCGGUGAAAUGCAUAGAUAUGCCACAGAACACCGAUUGCGAAGGCAGCUUACCAAGGCAAAAUUGACGCUGAGGCACGAAAGCGUGGGGAUCGAACAGGAUUAGAUACCCCAGUAGUCCCUGUCUCUUAUAA
This 301-nucleotide ribosomal RNA is filed under the name uncultured bacterium. RNAcentral describes it as "partial 16S ribosomal RNA". It matches the Rfam family "Bacterial small subunit ribosomal RNA", at positions 509 to 809 of the family's 1533-position model. The record is from RNAcentral.